RNAcentral lists this ribosomal RNA (253 nucleotides) under uncultured bacterium. Its description in RNAcentral is "partial 16S ribosomal RNA". It matches the Rfam family "Bacterial small subunit ribosomal RNA", at positions 524 to 776 of the family's 1533-position model. The record is from RNAcentral.
UACGUAGGCAGCAAGCGUUGUUCGGAGUUACUGGGCGUAAAGGGUGCGUAGGCGGUUGUUUAAGUUUGGUGUGAAAUCUCCCGGCUCAACUGGGAGGGUGCGCCGAAUACUGAGUGACUAGAGUGCGGGAGAGGAUAGUGGAAUUCCUGAUGUAGCGGUGAAAUGCGUAGAUAUCCGGAGGAACACCAAAGGCGAAGGCAGUGUCCUGGGGAGUACCUGACGCUCAGGUGCGAAAGCCAGGGGAGCGAACGGG